CCUACGGGCGGCAGCAGUGAGGAAUAUUGGUCAAUGGGCGAGAGCCUGAACCAGCCAAGUCGCGUGAGGGAUGAAGGAUCUAUGGUUUGUAAACUUCUUUUAUAUGGGAAUAAAGUGAGGAACGUGUUCCUUUUUGUAUGUACCAUAUGAAUAAGCAUCGGCUAACUCCGUGCCAGCAGCCGCGGUAAUACGGAGGAUGCGAGCGUUAUCCGGAUUUAUUGGGUUUAAAGGGUGCGUAGGUGGUUAAUUAAGUCAGCGGUGAAAGUUUGUGGCUCAACCAUAAAAUUGCCGUUGAAACUGGUUGACUUGAGUAUGUUUGAGGUAGGCGGAAUGCGUGGUGUAGCGGUGAAAUGCAUAGAUAUCACGCAGAACUCCGAUUGCGAAGGCAGCUUGCUAAGCUAUGACUGACGCUGAAGCACGAAAGCGUGGGGAUCGAACAGGAUUAGAUACCCUGGUAGUC
Molecule: ribosomal RNA, 460 nt
Filed under: uncultured bacterium
Lineage: Bacteria
Description: partial 16S ribosomal RNA
Rfam family: Bacterial small subunit ribosomal RNA
Source: RNAcentral